AAUUAGCCGAUCAACACAAAUGAACUUUUUUCGCAAACACUCAAGACAACCCGAAAGAGCAUUGUAAGUCUAUUCUAAAGCGUAGUGGUAGAAAAAUUGACAUGGGCAUUGGUAAUGACGUGGAGGAAGAGGAAAUUGUAGUAGAAAAGGAGAAGGAAAAAGAUGAGAUUGAAGUAGAAAAAAAUAUUGAGGGAGAAUUAGUUAAAAAAGAAAAACGUGAGAAAGAAGAAGUAAAAAAUAAAAAUAGAGAGGAAAAGAAUAAAAAGAAUCAAAAGGG
This 277-nucleotide long non-coding RNA is filed under the name Lathyrus oleraceus (garden pea). Its description in RNAcentral is "Pisum sativum (pea) long non-coding RNA (PSAT_LNC018312)". The record is from RNAcentral. Lineage: Eukaryota; Viridiplantae; Streptophyta; Magnoliopsida; Fabales; Fabaceae.